GGAUAUGUUUGUUGGGUUUGUAGAGUAAAC
This 30-nucleotide non-coding RNA is filed under the name Rattus norvegicus (Norway rat). Lineage: Eukaryota; Metazoa; Chordata; Mammalia; Rodentia; Muridae. The record is from RNAcentral.